RNAcentral lists this ribosomal RNA (522 nucleotides) under uncultured Glomus. RNAcentral describes it as "SSU rRNA". It matches the Rfam family "Eukaryotic small subunit ribosomal RNA", at positions 569 to 1092 of the family's 1831-position model. The record is from RNAcentral. Lineage: Eukaryota; Fungi; Glomeromycota; Glomeromycetes; Glomerales; Glomeraceae.
AGCAGCCGCGGUAAUUCCAGCUUCAAUAGCGUAUAUUAAAGUUGUUGCAGUUAAAAAGCUCGUAGUUGAAUUUCGGGGUCAGUAGGUUGGUCAUGCCACUGGUAUGUACUGGUCUCACUGAUUCCUCCUUCCUGAUGAACUGUAAUGCCAUUAAUUUGGUGUUGCAGGGAAUCUGGACUGUUACUUUGAAAAAAUUAGAGUGUUUAAAGCAGGCCAACGCCUGAAUACAUUAGCAUGGAAUAAUGAAAUAGGACGUUCGAUCCUAUUUUGUUGGUCUCUAGGAUUGACGUAAUGAUUAAUAGGGAUAGUUGGGGGCAUUAGUAUUCAAUUGUCAGAGGUGAAAUUCUUGGAUUUAUUGAAGACUAACUACUGCGAAAGCAUUUGCCAAGGAUGUUUUCAUUAAUCAAGAACGAAAGUUAGGGGAUCGAAGACGAUCAGAUACCGUCGUAGUCUUAACCAUAAACUAUGCCGACUAGGGAUCGGAUGAUGUUAAUUUUUUAAUGACUCAUUCGGCGCCUUACG